This is a long non-coding RNA of Leptonychotes weddellii (Weddell seal), 659 nucleotides long. RefSeq lists it as uncharacterized. Lineage: Eukaryota; Metazoa; Chordata; Mammalia; Carnivora; Phocidae. The record is from RefSeq and is a predicted model, not a curated record.
CCCCGCCAUUGUAGCUCCCUUUGUGCGCUGGUCUGGUUGCGUCGGGCUGUGGGAAUGGUGCAGUGCCUGUGGGGGCUCCUGCGGCUCCCUCCCCUACGCUAGGGGGAGGCCCCAGCGUCCUGCGCUGUCUUUGCACGGCUUCCUGCGUGCCCCUGGUCCUCGCAGGCUGGUCCGCAGCGCCCUGAGGGUGUCUUAAGAGUCCGGAGGUGUGUUACUGUUGGAUAAAGCAUGAUUAUUCUGGAAGCCUAGCUAGGGUGGUGCCCUUUCAGAUGAGACACCGAUCUGGUAGCUGAAGGGCUGAAGUUUGGAAUUCGCCCUCUGGGAGAAAUGCUGUGGAGAGAUGUCUGUGAUGCCUAUAGGUAAUGGCUCCUGCCACUUGAACCUACAGGCUGUGAUGAGAAGUGAAGAGCUGCGUCCUUUCUCCCUGGCUACUAUGGGUUUUGUUAACGCAGAGGAUAUCUCCCAUCUGGUGUUGGGCAGAUCCCAGGAGCUUCCAUCUAGUUUUCCUGCAUUAACCUGUGUGAGCAGCUGUCAACUUACUGGAGGAAAGAAACUGCCCAGAAAUUUUGAGAUGCUUAAGUAUUUUUAGACCAAUUAGACUUAUUUAACAUAAAUACUGUUUUUAUCAAAAGAUUCCAAUAAAAUAUUUUAAAGCAAAA